UACGAGGGGGGCAAGCGUUGUCCGGAAUCACUGGGCGUAAAGGGCGCGUAGGCGGCUCAUGAAGGCUGUGGUGAAAGUCCGGGGCUCAACCUCGGAUCGGCCGUGGCGACUCGUGGGCUGGAGCACUGUAGAGGCGGGUGGAAUUCCGGGUGUAGCGGUGGAAUGCGUAGAGAUCCGGAAGAACACCAGUGGCGAAGGCGGCCCGCUGGGCAGUGGCUGACGCUGAGGCGCGACAGCGUGGGGAGCAAACAGG
This 253-nucleotide ribosomal RNA is filed under the name uncultured bacterium. RNAcentral's name for it is "partial 16S ribosomal RNA". It matches the Rfam family "Bacterial small subunit ribosomal RNA", at positions 524 to 776 of the family's 1533-position model. The record is from RNAcentral.